AUUUUUCGCUUUUUUAUUACGAAAAUUGAACUGGGUUUGAUGGAUUCAUUUUGAUUUUUUACUUCUAUGUGAUUUCUUAUAUUGAUUCAUUUCCACUUGAUUCUUGAUCUUCCGUUUUGUUUCUGGCUCUAAUUUAUUUACAUUUUGUUCGCAAUUCAAGUGAGAAAGAAAAUUAUUUAUUUACCUGGUGAAGUUAUGACCUCGAAUACUCCGUCAUCAAGUGCUGGGGAAAAUGAAUCAAUGGAUUCAGUAGCUCCCACAAUUGUUUCAGUUCUUCGUUGGCUUUUGUUUUCACUCUCUUCAUCUUUCUUGUUAGAACAUAUAUAUCUUUUUGGUCUUGGCAAUGAUGUCAUAUUGUCACCUAUGCAUGGAUUUGAAAUUGUCAACCUGAUUAUUGAUGUGAAGCAUUGCCUAUAGGUUAGGAAAAAUUCGCUCAUUCGAGUCCUACAAUUUAAUUUGUUAGAUUCUUUUUUCCCUUCUAAGUAAACAUUUUCUAUCUUCUAAGGUUUUAAAAUUAUAUUAGUAUAUUAUUAAUUGUUUAGGUCUUUUGCAAGCAUUUCUGGGGGUUGCAAAAGAUCUUAAUGCUAUUGUGAUUGCACUCAGAGGGACUCCGGAGAGCAGUUUUGGCCUAUAUUGGUUCUUCAUGUUUUUAUCAAUUCUAUGAUUACACAUUUUACCUCAAAUUUGAUGCUUGAAUUAAAGUGUUUCAGUACUAACUUCUUUUAUGAAUUGAGUAAAAACACGAAGCUGGUUUCACUCCCUGCCUUAAUAUGCAUCAUCUUUAUGAUGCCCUAGGGCUCAAGCUUCGGAGUGUUGCUAAAACUUAGUUAAGCGUUUCAAGUAUGAAACAUAAAGGAAAAUCAUAUGGGAUUAUCAAAAAUAAAUGACUAAUGUCAUUAAUAAUAAUAAACUAACUUUUUUAAAACAAAGUCAUGAAUUCAAUAAAUUUUGACAUAAAAGAAAAAAUACUUCGAUGAUAAUCACUUAAAUUCAUGAAAAAAAAAUACAAAAUACAAAAUCCCAUCAAUUUGUUUUCAUACUUGAUCUGAUUCGGGAUCAUUCCAACACUAGCCAACAAUAAAGCUUUCAGAGUAACUUUGAUGCUUGUAGCAUCAUUCCUUUCCUUCCACUCUUCAAUUAUUGCCUUUAGAGCCACAUCGACAAUCAAAUAUGUGUUUUUUAGUUUCAAUCCACAUUUUAUCUUAUACGUGCUUCUUGUUUUUCGAGAGAUUGUUUUAGAUAAUUUCAUCUUUCUUUUUUUCCCCCUUUAAAGCCAGUUAGGCAGAUUGCUAUGUUCGCUAAGACUAUUUUCCAUACUUUUUCAUUGCAAGUGGUUCGCUAUAAAUUUGGUAUCUUAGACAUUUUGAUAACAAUUGUUCUUGCAACAACAGGUAUGUGAUGUGUGCAUAAAACUAUAUGCAUGGUACACUUCCAAAUUAGUUUAUAUUUGAUCCUCGAAAUCUUAUUUAUUGAUAAAUGUUCUAUAGCCACAGAAAAGAGAGUUGAUAAAUUAAAUCAAGAGCGGUGUCUAUGACAUUAACUGGUACAUCAUCCCAAGUUCUGCUGGUGCAGCAAAGGUAUACAACAAUCUCCAUUUGAAAAAUUUAUUAAUCUGUAAAUUUUUUGCUGAUCCGUUUAAGCAGAUAUAAUCGACCUAUGGUUUGUGUAUAGUGUGCCUAUGCUUCUUUUUUUGGUGGUCCAUGUCAAUUGUGAUACUGCAAUAAGUACACAUGGGAGGGAGAGAACUUUCCAUAAAUAUUUUUAAAAUAGAAUGUUCUCAUUCAUAUUGCUUUUGAGUUAUUUAGUCUUUUUUACAACAUGAUUUUUAGAUGAGAUGGUCAUACAAUCAUUCAAUAAAAAUGUAAACGUCUAUUUAGUUUGUUUGUGCUCUUUACCAUGCAGAAUGAAUGUUUAAACUAAAGUGGAGAGGUAGCUUUUCAAGAUCAAAUUUUAGAUCCCUAUUUUCUGAACUACUAGAUUAUAAAACAUUGGCUUCUAAAUGUUUGUACUUUCCUAUAUUUACAAAUCAG
RNAcentral lists this long non-coding RNA (2030 nucleotides) under Olea europaea subsp. europaea. The record is from RNAcentral. Lineage: Eukaryota; Viridiplantae; Streptophyta; Magnoliopsida; Lamiales; Oleaceae.